GGAAACCGGAUGUGGCUCAGGGUAGGAAGUUGUUGUGGAGUUUGAAUCACUUUGAGCGGCCAAAUCAGUGCCUAUUUUAAGUCCAUUAGUGCAGAAGGCACCAUGAGUCUGCACGAUGACACUCCAGAGCGACUGGACGCAGACUUCGACCGUUACCUGUCAGACAUGAAGCCAUAUGUCCUGAAGCACCCCAACAGAACAGAGCGCCAACGGUGCGCCAUGUGGAUCAGGAAGCUUUGUGACCCGACCAUGUGUGGCUCAGGACCAGUUGGGCUGAAGAAUCGCAACAUGUACGCUCGCCUGCUUCUGCACAUGCUCAGAAGAGGAGUCCUGGAUGCCCCUUUCACUGUCAAGCCGGAUCAGGGCUGCCUGAAGACUCUACCAACUUACAUGGCGAUCUACUUCGACGAGCCCCUGGGCGCCAGCGGGCCAGCGGUACAGGAAGUGGCACCGCUUCCUGAUUGGGUGGCAGGAGAGCUCGGCCACCAUGGAUCCGACAGGACCAGGAGGUCUUCCUCCCCCACCUCUGCCACUCACUCCAGAAGGCGGCCGUAUGACGAGAAGACCCCAUGCCGGAAAAUGGCGUCCAGUCCUCUCGACCAGUCCCCUAGAAGAGAACACACCGGCAUGGUGGACGGUGUGUCGAAGCCGUACGCAUCCCCAGAUGACAGUGACCUUGAGGCCCGGCUCAACAGUUGGAACCUAGGGAUCGAAAACCCCAGGUAUUUGCGUGAGAGGCCCAUCGCCCCGUCGUCGAUUGCUCCAUCACUCCAGAUGUUCAACUCGACCAUUGGUAGGAACAGCACAUAUCUUGAUGAAACAGCCCCGCUGCACAAACAGGACAAAGAGGUGGAGAUGAAAAUCAAAGUGUUGGAGGCCAAACAUCAGGAGGAGCAGCUCAGGAUGCAGCAGAGACAUGAUUCAGACGUCCAAAAAAUUCUGGACAGAAAGAAUGGUGAGAUUGAGGAGUUAAAGACGUCAUACCGGGCCAAGCAGAAGGGCUCAGAGGAGAUGAUCCACAAGCUGGAGAAGAAAGUUGAAAGCGGGCUGCGGGAGUCCCAGGUCAUCCGCGAGAGCAAAGAGAAGCAGAUUGCGGAGCUGAAGAAGAUGUCGGAUCAGAGCUCCAGCUCCCUGCACAACGAGUGGGAGAAGAAGCUCCACGCGGCGGCUGCGGACUUGGAGCAGGAGAAGUUUGUGCUCCAGAAGAAACACACGCAGAGCAUCCAGGAGCUACUGGACGACACCACCCAGAGGCUGACCAAGAUGGAGGCCCAGUACAGAGCUCAGGCACAGUCCACGGAGAGGACAGUGCGUGAGCUGGAAGUGACGGUGAAGCAGCAGUCGGCGGAGGUGGAGAAGGGCAAGGCUCUGCGUCAGAAGGUGACCCAGGAGAAGGGCCAGCUGGAGAUCCAGGUGGCCACCCUGGGCGCUGAGCUCCAGGAGGCUAGCCGACGAAGCAUGGCGCAGCUGAAGGAGAAGGAGGAGCAGAGUGAGCAGUACGAGCAGGCCUCCGAGAGGCUCCGGGCCACGCACCAGGCCGACAUGAGCCACUAUCAACAGGAACACGCCCUCUCUGCUGCCAAGGCCUCGGAGGUGAUGGAGGAAAUGGAGCGGGUAGCCUCCCAGCUCAGGCAACAGCUACAGGAGGCUGAGCACAGGAGACAGAAACAGCUCCGGGACCAAGAGAUCAAGUUUCAGCAGGAGAAGGAUGACCUGCAGAUCCACUGCGAGGGGAAGGUUCUGACUACUCUGAGCAAGGCGGAGAAGGAGAGAACAGAGGCAAAGAAGAUGACGGCCAAACUUGAAGAGUCUCUAAGGGAGGCGGAGGGCCAGCUGGAAAGAGCCAGAGAGGACCACAGGCAGCAGGUCCGGCAGGCUGAGGCCUCUCUGGAGCAGUUCAGGCAGCAGGUUGAGCUUAGUUCGGAGAAGACCUAUGCCGACAUGAAACUACAGAUGGAGAAGGUGGAGGAGGAUUUGCUUCACUCCAAGGCCCUCCGAGAAAACCAGACAAAGGAGUUCUCCCAGAAACUAGACGCACUCCGGGAAAGAUACGAGGAGCAGAUGGCGGAGCAGCGCGUGCAGCGGGAGCAGGAGAGGACGCGACUCCAGCAGCAGCACAGCGCCGAGCGGGACAGCCAGGCCCGGGAGCGCCAGCGGGAGGUGGGCAGCCUGGAGAGACAGGCCCGGGCCGCCCUGCAGCAGCACCAGCUGCACACCCAGGAGUGGAGGGAGCGCGAUGCCCAGACCAUCUCAGAGCUGGAGGAGCAGGUGGGCUGUCUGCGGCAGGAGGUGGCGGCGGCCCAUGGCCAGAGGAAGCAGCAGCUGGCGGAGGUGGCGACGCUCCGCGAGGAGGAGCGCCGCCGCGAUGCCCAGGACCACGAGGCCUCGCUGGCCGGCCUCCAGGCCGAGGACCAGCGUCUCCGCGGUAUCGCCCAGAAAGCCCACCGCCAGGAGGUGGAAGCCGUCAGGGAGAAGGCCAGCAGCAGGCUGAGGCAGAUGGAGAAGGACCACGCUCAGAAGCUUGCCAAGUCUAUCCAGCUGAUAGCCCAGCUGCAGACGUCAGUGUGUGACUGUAAGGAGGAGGCUGUGCGUGUGCAGCAGAGCCUGGAGAGACAGCUGGAAGAGGGCCAGGCUCGCUGGGACCAGGAGAGACGGACCCUAAGCCACCACGCUGACAAGGCCCACAAGGCUUUGCAGGAAAAAGCGGAGGGUCUACAGCGGCAGUUGCACUCCUCUGAGAAGAAGCUGCUCAACAAAGAGUUGGAGAUGCAGGAACAGGUGACGGCAGUGCGGCAGGACUGCGAGGUGAGGAUCAAAGGCCUACUGCCGGCAGAGCUCCAACGGGAGCUGGAGGACACCAUCACCUCCCUGAAGGCCCAGAUCACACAGUCCUUUUCCCUUCCACAACAGCAAGAACACACACACACACACAUCCAUACACAGUACCACACACACACACACACACAAACGUCCACCCACAGCCACACACACAGAGCUUCUCAGAGGAACCCUGGUCCUUGUUAGUUUCACUGGGGCCCGAGUUGCAGUGGAGGCCUUUCUUUCGGUUCCUCCGUGUUUACAAAGUAAACAAAAGGCGCCUUUUCUGAAGCAGAGGGAGAGACAGAGACAGACGGAGAGAGAGAGAGAGAGAGAGAGAGAGAGAGAGAGAGAGAGAGAGAGAGAGAGAGAGAGAGAGAGAGAGAGAGAGAGGGGAGCUGACGGCACCACGAGUUCCUCUGCUAGAACCCACCUCGUGCUCCGAGGCGCUCCAUCCGUAUCCCCUUUCAGCGCAGCGCAGCAGCUCUGCGAUCGGAUAUGUUUAUCGGAUGGAGCUCGCGAGCGGCACCGCCUUCACAUGCGGCGCAUUAUUUAUUUUGUGUGGAGAAAAGACAAGGCGGUGGCGGCAACGGAGGUGGGGGUAGAAAAAACAGGGGGGGGGGGGCGGAAUUCAGUCCAGCCACAUUUUGCCACAGGGAUUUGCAUAUUCCACAUGGCGGCGAAACGCAAAACGAAGCGCUAUAACUUUUCUAAGGUCUCUCCCCCUCCCCUUCGCCGACAUGAAGGAAUGCUCUCUGGGCUCGGGUACGGUUAGUUCCAGGACAAUGUGGAUUCCUUGGCGAGCUGCUGGAGGUUUGCCUGCCCGCCUGGGAGACCCCAUGUUGGCCGAGUUUGGGGUUUAUUUUCAGAAGGCCCUGGUGACACUUGAUAAAUAAACUCCCAGCUUGUAGCGGAGCGAGGGUGGGUUAACACGUGGUGGCCUCCGCCCCCACCCCCCUCCACCAAUACCUCCAGCCCCCGACCCCCUACCUCCACCACCACCAACACAAGCUCCCUCACCUCCACCACCAGCACCUCCUCCACAAACUCCAUCCCAACCACCACCUGCUGACCCCCCAAACCCCUCUUCCACAUCGGUGUACUGCCUCCACCCCUCCACCCUCCCACAGCUCCACCCACGCACGUCGGUCAGAAUGCAUCAAGCACGUGCUUUUCUGUGUUGCAGGUCAACUUCCUCCAGAAGAGAGCCUCGCUACUGCAGGAGGAUCUGGAUGCACAUCGCAAGGGUAACGGGAAAUAUACCAGCAACCAACCCAUUGAAAUAUGAAGGAAGAAGGCGACCUAUCAGAUGUGAGCAUCAUUGACUGUUUCCGGGGCGGCAUUUCACCCAAUCGUCAUGCCAUUGGAAUAUUCAUCUUUUUUUAUGCACUCAUGUCAUGUUUUUUUAUUUCACACUGUAUUUAUUAACUGAUGAACUUUGAAUGAAGUAUGAUUGUUCUAUUUAAAAAGUUGUUAUUCAUUCUUAAUAAAACAUUUUUGUGUUUUUCUUUUAUAA
Molecule: RNA transcript, 4333 nt
Organism: Gadus morhua (Atlantic cod)
Lineage: Eukaryota; Metazoa; Chordata; Actinopteri; Gadiformes; Gadidae
Gene: cep112
Gene name: centrosomal protein 112
Exons: 27
Source: RefSeq, a predicted model, not a curated record